GUACUGUUGAAGAGUCCCAAACUAGGACGAAACAGCUGCCCAGUAC
Molecule: non-coding RNA, 46 nt
Organism: Trichobilharzia regenti
Lineage: Eukaryota; Metazoa; Platyhelminthes; Trematoda; Strigeidida; Schistosomatidae
Source: Rfam